GCAGCUAUGGCCGAGUGGUCUAAGGCGGUGGACUUAAGCUAGCUUACUUACGUAAGGGCUGAAACCCACUGGGAAACCGCGUGAGUUCGAACCUCACUGGCUGCA
Molecule: transfer RNA, 105 nt
Filed under: Kwoniella dejecticola CBS 10117
Lineage: Eukaryota; Fungi; Basidiomycota; Tremellomycetes; Tremellales; Cryptococcaceae
Rfam family: tRNA
About the family: Transfer RNA (tRNA) molecules are approximately 80 nucleotides in length. Their secondary structure includes four short double-helical elements and three loops (D, anti-codon, and T loops).
Source: Rfam by way of RNAcentral